ACUCAAAGGAAUUGACGGGGACCCGCACAAGCAGCGGAGCAUGUGGUUUAAUUCGAAGCAACGCGAAAAACCUUACCAAGACUUGACAUCCUGCGCAUAACGUGGAAACACGUUAGUCCUUCGGGACGCAGAGACAGGUGGUGCAUGGUUGUCGUCAGUUCGUGUCGUGAGAUGUUCGGUUAAGUCCGGCAACGAACGCAACCCUUAUGAUAUGUUGCUAACAUUCAGUUGAGAACUCAUAUCAGACUGCCGUGGAUUAACACGGAGGAAGGUGGGGACGACGUCAAAUCAUCAUGCCCCUUACGUCUUGGGCUACACACGUGCUACAAUGGGCGCUACAAAGAGCAGCAAAACAGCAAUGUCGAGCGAAUCUCAAAAAGGCGUUCUCAGUUCAGAUUGUGGGCUGCAACCCGCCCACAUGAAGUAGGAGUUGCUAGUAAUCGCGAAUCAGCAUGUCGCGGUGAAUGCGUUCCCGGGUCUUGUACACACCGCCCGU
RNAcentral lists this ribosomal RNA (496 nucleotides) under uncultured bacterium. RNAcentral describes it as "bacterial SSU rRNA". It matches the Rfam family "Bacterial small subunit ribosomal RNA", at positions 899 to 1397 of the family's 1533-position model. The record is from RNAcentral.